AUACGUAGGUGGCGAGCGUUGUCCGGAAUUAUUGGGCGUAAAGGGCGCGUAGGCGGGAUAGUCAGUCUGUUGUAAAAGUUCGGGGCUCAACCCCGUGAAGCAAUGGAAACUGCUAUUCUUGAGUGCAGGAGAGGAAAGUGGAAUUCCCAGUGUAGCGGUGAAAUGCGUAGAUAUUGGGAGGACCACCUGUGGCGAAGGCGCCUAACUGGAACGGACCUGACGGUGAGUAACGAAAGCCAGGGGCGC
This 246-nucleotide ribosomal RNA is filed under the name uncultured bacterium. Its description in RNAcentral is "partial 16S ribosomal RNA". It matches the Rfam family "Bacterial small subunit ribosomal RNA", at positions 523 to 769 of the family's 1533-position model. The record is from RNAcentral.